Molecule: ribosomal RNA, 780 nt
Filed under: uncultured Pseudomonas sp.
Lineage: Bacteria; Pseudomonadati; Pseudomonadota; Gammaproteobacteria; Pseudomonadales; Pseudomonadaceae
Description: bacterial SSU rRNA
Rfam family: Bacterial small subunit ribosomal RNA
Source: RNAcentral
UAGAGUUUGAUCAUGGCUCAGAUUGAACGCUGGCGGCAGGCCUAACACAUGCAAGUCGAGCGGAUGAAAGGAGCUUGCUCCUGGAUUCAGCGGCGGACGGGUGAGUAAUGCCUAGGAAUCUGCCUGGUAGUGGGGGACAACGUUUCGAAAGGAACGCUAAUACCGCAUACGUCCUACGGGAGAAAGCAGGGGACCUUCGGGCCUUGCGCUAUCAGAUGAGCCUAGGUCGGAUUAGCUAGUUGGUGAGGUAAUGGCUCACCAAGGCGACGAUCCGUAACUGGUCUGAGAGGAUGAUCAGUCACACUGGAACUGAGACACGGUCCAGACUCCUACGGGAGGCAGCAGUGGGGAAUAUUGGACAAUGGGCGAAAGCCUGAUCCAGCCAUGCCGCGUGUGUGAAGAAGGUCUUCGGAUUGUAAAGCACUUUAAGUUGGGAGGAAGGGUUGUAGAUUAAUACUCUGCAAUUUUGACGUUACCGACAGAAUAAGCACCGGCUAACUCUGUGCCAGCAGCCGCGGUAAUACAGAGGGUGCAAGCGUUAAUCGGAAUUACUGGGCGUAAAGCGCGCGUAGGUGGUUCGUUAAGUUGGAUGUGAAAUCCCCGGGCUCAACCUGGGAACUGCAUUCAAAACUGUCGAGCUAGAGUAUGGUAGAGGGUGGUGGAAUUUCCUGUGUAGCGGUGAAAUGCGUAGAUAUAGGAAGGAACACCAGUGGCGAAGGCGACCACCUGGACUGAUACUGACACUGAGGUGCGAAAGCGUGGGGAGCAAACAGGAUUAGA